Molecule: ribosomal RNA, 857 nt
Filed under: uncultured bacterium
Lineage: Bacteria
Description: bacterial SSU rRNA
Rfam family: Bacterial small subunit ribosomal RNA
Source: RNAcentral
GACGAACGCUGGCGGCGUGCUUAACACAUGCAAGUCGAACGGAAAGGCCCGCUUGCGGGUGCUCGAGUGGCGAACGGGUGAGUAACACGUGGGUAACCUGCCCCUGCUUCGGGAUAACUCCGGGAAACCGGGGCUAAUACCGGAUAUUCAUUGCUGGCCGCAUGGUUGGUGGUGGAAAGUUUUUUCGGCUGGGGAUGGGCCCGCGGCCUAUCAGCUUGUUGGUGGGGUGAUGGCCUACCAAGGCUUCGACGGGUAGCCGGCCUGAGAGGGCGACCGGCCACACUGGGACUGAGACACGGCCCAGACUCCUACGGGAGGCAGCAGUGGGGAAUAUUGGACAAUGGGCGAAAGCCUGAUCCAGCAACGCCGCGUGAGGGAUGACGGCCUUCGGGUUGUAAACCUCUUUCAGUAGGGACGAAGCGCAAGUGACGGUACCUACAGAAGAAGCACCGGCCAACUACGUGCCAGCAGCCGCGGUAAUACGUAGGGUGCGAGCGUUGUCCGGAAUUAUUGGGCGUAAAGGGCUCGUAGGCGGUCUGUUGCGUCGGGAGUGAAAGCUCAGGGCUUAACCCUGAGCCUGCUUCCGAUACGGGCAGACUAGAGGUAUGCAGGGGAGAACGGAAUUCCUGGUGUAGCGGUGAAAUGCGCAGAUAUCAGGAGGAACACCGGUGGCGAAGGCGGUUCUCUGGGCAUUACCUGACGCUGAGGAGCGAAAGUGUGGGGAGCGAACAGGAUUAGAUACCCUGGUAGUCCACACCGUAAACGUUGGGCGCUAGGUGUGGGACUCAUUCCACGAGUUCCGUGCCGCAGCUAACGCAUUAAGCGCCCCGCCUGGGGAGUACGGCCGCAAGGCUAAA